Long non-coding RNA from Salvia miltiorrhiza (redroot sage), 761 nucleotides. RefSeq lists it as uncharacterized. Lineage: Eukaryota; Viridiplantae; Streptophyta; Magnoliopsida; Lamiales; Lamiaceae. The transcript has 2 exons. The record is from RefSeq and is a predicted model, not a curated record.
CUCUCAAAAACUGAAUUCGUCGCCGGCGGACCAGUACAUCACCUUCUUGCACUACCGCCGGUCCGCUCCGCUGCGUCUCUCGUUGAGCCCUGAAUCUCUCUCCCGCCUGUAACUCACCCUCUCAUUGCCUUACUCCCCUGCCACACCCUCUCGAGGCCACUGUUAAAGCUCACCGCCGGCGGACUAGUGCCUGCCAAUCGCUGGAAGAGGUAAGGGAUUUUGAUUUUUUUUUCUAUUUUGAUCUCUGUUUUUCCCUCACCAUCUCUUGCAUAGUUUCAACAGUGCCCUCGCCCAGAUUUGUGCUACGCCACCGUGCCCGAGCAGCCUUCACCGUGCCGAGCUGCUGUCAUCGCGCUCUGCCGCAGCUGCCAUUGCCGAUGUGUCCCACGUACUGUUUCCGCUGUCGCUUAUAAGGUUGAUGCUCGUAUAAAAGCACUCAAAAACAUUGUGUGGAAGGAAGGCCUUAAAUCAACAGGUGGCUGAUUCCCUCGUUAGAUGGGUGGAUCAACUCCAAUACAAAGCCAUCCCCCAAGUCCCAAGUCCUAAAAUUGUUUACGUCGAAAAUAUCCAAUCAUGAUAUAGAUUGUAAUCUUCUUACUCCACGGGCCUCUGUAAGUCGAAGGGGAUCAAACACAGUCGAGUCAAAGUCAUUAGUACAUUAGGAUUGUUCUUAUUUUGUAAUGAAUAUUGAUUUGAUUGGGUUGAACUUGAGUUGUAAUGAAUGGAAAUUUUAAGAAAUUAUUGUAUUGCAAUGAAUAUUA